Hevea brasiliensis (rubber tree) is the source of this 193-nucleotide small nucleolar RNA. RefSeq annotates it as small nucleolar RNA snoR127. NCBI's taxonomy places the organism in Eukaryota, Viridiplantae, Streptophyta, Magnoliopsida, Malpighiales, Euphorbiaceae. The transcript has a single exon. The record is from RefSeq and is a predicted model, not a curated record.
CUGGAAUGAUGUUGCUUAGCCAAAUCAGACAUAGAUGUGCUCCAUAAGGCAAUGUCUUCAAAGCUUGUGUUAAUUGUUUUAGUAAACAUGUUGAUGGCCUCUUGUGUAACUUAUGCCAAGCAUUAGACAAGAUGCCUUGUGUAGAAGUGCAUCCUUUGAUGAUCACUUGGAGACUAGUAGCUGGCUGACCAGA